Molecule: ribosomal RNA, 438 nt
Filed under: uncultured bacterium
Lineage: Bacteria
Description: bacterial SSU rRNA
Rfam family: Bacterial small subunit ribosomal RNA
Source: RNAcentral
AACGCGAAGAACCUUACCCAGGCUCGAAAUGUAGAGGACGAUACUAGAGAUAGUAUUUUCCGCAAGGACCUCUAUAUAGGUGCUGCAUGGCUGUCGUCAGCUCGUGCCGUGAGGUGUUUGGUUAAGUCCAGCAACGAGCGCAACCCUUAUCAUUAGUUGCCAACAUUUAAGGUGGGGACUCUAAUGAGACUGCCUGGGUUAACCAGGAGGAAGGUGAGGAUGACGUCAAGUCCGCAUGGCCUUUAUGUCUGGGGCUACACACGUGCUACAAUGGUCGGUACAGAAGGCAGCAAGACCGCAAGGUGGAGCAAAUCCGUAAAGCCGAUCUCAGUUCAGAUUGUAGUCUGCAACUCGACUACAUGAAGUUGGAAUUGCUAGUAAUGACGAGUCAGCAACAUCGUCGUGAAUACGUUCCCGGGCCUUGUACACACCGCAUAC